Molecule: unclassified non-coding RNA, 317 nt
Filed under: uncultured Psathyrella
Lineage: Eukaryota; Fungi; Basidiomycota; Agaricomycetes; Agaricales; Psathyrellaceae
Description: sequence contains ITS1
Rfam family: Eukaryotic small subunit ribosomal RNA (bases 1-46)
Source: RNAcentral
AAGUCGUAACAAGGUUUCCGUAGGUGAACCUGCGGAAGGAUCAUUAAUGAAUAUCUAUGGCGGUGGUUGUAGCUGGCUUCUAGGAGCAUAUGUGCACACCCGUCAUUCAUAUCUUUCCACCUGUGAACCUAAUGUAGAUCUGGAUAACUCUCGCUUUCUGAGCGGAAACAGGGAUUGCUGUGUCGCAAGGCCAGCUCUCUUUGAAUUUCCAGGUCUAUGUCCUUUACACACCCCAAUUGAAUGAUGAAGAAUGUAGUCAAUGGGCUCUAAGCCCAUAAAACACAAUACAACUUUCAGCAACGGAUCUCUUGGCUCUC